UGGGGAAUCUUGCACAAUGGGGGAAACCCUGAUGCAGCGACGCCGCGUGAGCGAUGAAGCCCUUCGGGGUGUAAAGCUCUUUCGGCAGGGAAGAUUAUGACGGUACCUGCAGAAGCAGCUGCGGCUAACUACGUGCCAGCAGCCGCGGUAAUACGUAGGCAGCAAGCGUUGUUCGGAGUUACUGGGCGUAAAGGGUGCGUAGGCGGUCCUAUAAGUAUGGUGUGAAAUCUCCCGGCUUAACUGGGAGGGUGCGCUAUAGACUGUGGGACUAGAGUGUGGGAGAGGAAAGUGGAAUUCCUGGUGUAGCGGUGAAAUGCGUAGAUAUCAGGAGGAACACCGGUGGUGUAAACGGCUUUCUGGACCAUAACUGACGCUGAGGCACGAAAGCGUGGGUAGCAAACAGGAUUAGAUACCCUGGUAGUCCACGCCCUAAACGAUGCAUAUUUGGUGUGGGUCAUUCAGUUGAUCCGUGCCGGAGCUAACGCGUUAAAUAUGCCGCCUGGGGAGUACAGUCGCAAGGCUG
This 523-nucleotide ribosomal RNA is filed under the name uncultured bacterium. RNAcentral's name for it is "bacterial SSU rRNA". It matches the Rfam family "Bacterial small subunit ribosomal RNA", at positions 355 to 896 of the family's 1533-position model. The record is from RNAcentral.